Molecule: long non-coding RNA, 1003 nt
Organism: Sceloporus undulatus (fence lizard)
Lineage: Eukaryota; Metazoa; Chordata; Lepidosauria; Squamata; Phrynosomatidae
Exons: 2
Source: RefSeq, a predicted model, not a curated record
UCCAACUGCCAGGAGCUUUCAGAGCAGGGGAAGCAACUCCUGGGCUUCGAUGUCAAACAGAAACAAACUUUUAAUUUGAAUCCGUGCCUGUAGGAGAACAGGGGCUGGAUUUGUUUUUUGGGCAGAUCUUGCAAAAGAGCAAGAAAUGGUGAAAUAUCUGCAGGAUGGAAAAUGUCACCCACUGAUCUGGCAGGAAACAUGUAGCAAAUAAACAGGAAAACCCUGGGUUUUCCUGGAAAUUGAGGACUAAAAGGGAGGUUUUAUAAAUCACAUUAAUGCCUAAAAGAAACACUUUCACUGUGAAAAUGGGCAUAUGUCAUGUCUUCCAACAGCACUGGAAUCGAGAGUUCAAGGCAAUACACUUGAACGUCCCAGCCAGCUUGGCCAAUGGUCACAGAUUGUGGGAGCUGAAAUCCCAGACAUCUGGAGGACUUCUAAAAGUUGAGAAGCACUGAUGUAGUGAGUAACUUGUGUGAGAUCAUCCAGUAAAGAUCAUGGCUGACUGUGGACAUGAACAUCACAUUCUCCAGUUUCAGUCUGACAUUCAGGCUACUACAUCAGAGUGAUUUUCCAGCAAUAACUCCAGCCAAUCAAAAAGAAGAGAGCUAUUCAAUCAUGUUAGACCUGCCAUAAAAUGGAGCUAUCAUCCAUCCAGCAAAAUGAUUACAUUUUCCAUGCCAUAAAUCUUUAUCAGAAAUACAGCUGUUACCUUGCAAUUCUUCUCUCACUGCAUGGAUUUCUUUGACUGAAAAAUGAUUGGUUUGGCAUUACUGUGGCAUUAUUAAAUUACUGGAGAUUUUAUAUAAUGCAUACCAUCUAUUGAUGCAUUUAGGCCAUAGAAAAUGUAAUUUCUAUCACAUUAGAUCCAGUGGAAAUAUGGCUGAUUAAUCUAGCCAAAAAGCGCCUAGGAAAUAGUCUCCAGCAAGUAGUUUAGUUGUUGUUGAUACUGUUAAUGAAAUAGCAUCAUGGUCAAGGGGAAGGAGAAUAAACAAGUAUAUAAGAA